GAUGAACGCUGGCGGGGGGCCUAACACAUGCAAGUCGAGCGGUAACACUUCGGGUGACGAGCGGCGAACGGCUGAGUAACACGUUGGUACCUGCCCUAUACUCAGGGAUAACCACUGGAAACGGUGGCUAAUACCGGAUAGCUGGAAACAGUAAAGAUUCAUCGGUAUAGGAGGGGCCUGCGGCAUAUCAGGUAGUUGGUGGGGUAAUAGCCUACCAAGCCUAUGACGUGUAGCUGGUGUGAGAGCAUGACCAGCCAGAGUGGGACUGAGACACGGCCCACACUCCUACGGGAGGCAGCAGUGAGGAAUCUUCCGCAAUGGGCGAAAGCCUGACGGAGCCACCCCGCGUGCAGGAUGACACCCUUCGGGGCGUAAACUGCUUUUCUGAGGGAAGAAGAUCUGACGGUACCUCAGGAAUAAGCAACGGCUAAUUUCG
Molecule: ribosomal RNA, 436 nt
Filed under: uncultured bacterium
Lineage: Bacteria
Description: bacterial SSU rRNA
Rfam family: Bacterial small subunit ribosomal RNA
Source: RNAcentral